RNAcentral lists this ribosomal RNA (200 nucleotides) under uncultured bacterium. RNAcentral's name for it is "partial 16S ribosomal RNA". It matches the Rfam family "Bacterial small subunit ribosomal RNA", at positions 524 to 723 of the family's 1533-position model. The record is from RNAcentral.
UACGGAGGGUGCGAGCGUUAAUCGGAAUUACUGGGCGUAAAGCGCGCGUAGGCGGUUUGAUAAGCUGGAUGUGAAAGCCCUGGGCUCAACCUGGGAACUGCAUCCAGAACUGUCUGACUAGAGUACAGUAGAGGUGAGUGGAAUUUCCUGUGUAGCGGUGAAAUGCGUAGAUAUAGGAAGGAACAUCAGUGGCGAAGGCG